UAUACCCCGGCUCAUAAAAGUAAAUGUCGGUACUUAGUUCUGGGCUGCCUACACGAAAUGUGAGACACGGUACACGAGCAGCGUCAGGGGCGUGCUGGAGCAGAUUGACGUCAUUAAACGCUUCGUACGCAAAUACGAUGACGUGUUCGAAUUCGUCACCUCCACUCAGGGAAUCCGUGAAGCCAAAGCGAAG
Priapulus caudatus is the source of this 193-nucleotide long non-coding RNA. RefSeq lists it as uncharacterized. Lineage: Eukaryota; Metazoa; Priapulida; Priapulimorpha; Priapulimorphida; Priapulidae. The record is from RefSeq and is a predicted model, not a curated record. The transcript has 3 exons.